RNAcentral lists this ribosomal RNA (287 nucleotides) under uncultured bacterium. Its description in RNAcentral is "partial 16S ribosomal RNA". It matches the Rfam family "Bacterial small subunit ribosomal RNA", at positions 773 to 1060 of the family's 1533-position model. The record is from RNAcentral.
GUGGAUUAGAUACCCUAGUAGUCCACGCCGUAAACGUUGGGCGCUAGGUGUGGGGGCCAUUCCACGGUCUCCGUGCCGCAGCUAACGCAUUAAGCGCCCCGCCUGGGGAGUACGGCCGCAAGGCUAAAACUCAAAGGAAUUGACGGGGGCCCGCACAAGCGGCGGAGCAUGUUGCUUAAUUCGAUGCAACGCGAAGAACCUUACCUAGGCUUGACAUGUGCGGAAAUCCUCCAGAGAUGGUGGGUCCGUAAGGGUCGCACACAGGUGGUGCAUGGCCGUCGUCUACA